Molecule: unclassified non-coding RNA, 667 nt
Filed under: Yarrowia lipolytica
Lineage: Eukaryota; Fungi; Ascomycota; Dipodascomycetes; Dipodascales
Source: RNAcentral
ACUGGAUAGGUGGGAAACGUUGGAUGUGGAGGCCGGAGGAGCUACCGUUCUGGUAGAGACGAAGGAAGCUGCAGCCAGUUCGCGUGGCCAACCGUUGAAAAUAACUUUCAAGUGAUUUCUCGGUGUCUAGAGGAACCCGGGCUUUUUAAGAACUUCUUGGAGCUUUUGCUUUGAACAAGGGGUGUCAGAGAAGUCCAACAUCUUUUUAUAUAAUCGUGGUACUGUUACUGUAGCCCUUAUGGCUGGUCGUUCCAAUUUGAGUCAGAAUCUUGAUGUCUGAGUCACUUUGGUAUCAGAGCACGAAGAAUUUCAUCACAUCACCAGUGUGUACAGUACACAUACUUGUACGCUCAGCGAGAGCUACAAAAUACGUACUGUACAAGAAUGCGGUACGCUUGGAAGAUGUUCUUCUCAUUGUGGUUUGAAAGAGCUGCUUCACAUUGACUUAUUGCAAGAAGUUGAUGCGAGGCACGUCUAUUCAGCAUCUUUUGUUCCAUAACUGUCAUUGUCAAGUCAUUGUCAAGUGACGUUGAACUAGUUUGUUAUCGAUGGUUGAAGGUGACUCCCAUAUGUUUUGCAUUAGCAAAUAAGUUGCAAAACAAAACAAAACAAAGGCAAUAACUUUCCCUUCGCAUUCUAUCUACACAAUCAAUCUAUUUAAACGCCC